GAGUUUGAUCCUGGCUCAGGAUGAACGCUAGCGGCAAGCUUAAUACAUGCAAGUCGAGGGGCAGCAUGACUGUAGCAAUACAGUUGAUGGCGACCGGCAAACGGGUGCGGAACACGUACAGAACCUUCCUUCGAGCGGGGAAUAGCCCAGAGAAAUUUGGAUUAAUACCCCAUAGUAUAUUAGAGUGGCAUCACUUUGAUAUUAAAGAUUUAUCACUUGAAGAUGGCUGUGCGGCUGAUUAGAUAGUUGGUGAGGUAACGGCUCACCAAGUCUGCGAUCAGUAACUGGUGUGAGAGCACGACCAGUCACACGGGCACUGAGACACGGGCCCGACUCCUACGGGAGGCAGCAGUAAGGAAUAUUGGUCAAUGGACGAAAGUCUGAACCAGCUAUGCCGCGUGGAGGAUGAAGGCCCUCUGGGUUGUAAACUUCUUUUAUAUGGGACGAAAAAGGGACUUUCUAGUUCAACUGACGGUACCAUGUGAAUAAGCACCGGCUAACUCCGU
This 506-nucleotide ribosomal RNA is filed under the name uncultured Sphingobacterium sp. Its description in RNAcentral is "bacterial SSU rRNA". It matches the Rfam family "Bacterial small subunit ribosomal RNA", at positions 9 to 506 of the family's 1533-position model. The record is from RNAcentral. Lineage: Bacteria; Pseudomonadati; Bacteroidota; Sphingobacteriia; Sphingobacteriales; Sphingobacteriaceae.